UACGUAGGGUGCGAGCGUUAAUCGGAAUUACUGGGCGUAAAGCGUGCGCAGGCGGUGAUGUAAGACAGAUGUGAAAUCCCCGGGCUCAACCUGGGAACUGCAUUUGUGACUGCAUCGCUGGAGUGCGGCAGAGGGGGAUGGAAUUCCGCGUGUAGCAGUGAAAUGCGUAGAUAUGCGGAGGAACACCGAUGGCGAAGGCAAUCCCCUGGGCCUGCACUGACGCUCAUGCACGAAAGCGUGGGGAUCAAACAGG
RNAcentral lists this ribosomal RNA (253 nucleotides) under uncultured bacterium. Its description in RNAcentral is "partial 16S ribosomal RNA". It matches the Rfam family "Bacterial small subunit ribosomal RNA", at positions 524 to 776 of the family's 1533-position model. The record is from RNAcentral.